ACUUAAAUUGAAGAGUUUGAUCAUGGCUCAGAUUGAACGCUGGCGGCAGGCCUAACACAUGCAAGUCGAGCGGUAGCACAGAGAGCUUGCUCUCGGGUGACGAGCGGCGGACGGGUGAGUAAUGUCUGGGAAACUGCCUGAUGGAGGGGGAUAACUACUGGAAACGGUAGCUAAUACCGCAUAACGUCGCAAGA
RNAcentral lists this ribosomal RNA (194 nucleotides) under Klebsiella pneumoniae. RNAcentral describes it as "partial 16S ribosomal RNA". It matches the Rfam family "Bacterial small subunit ribosomal RNA", at positions 1 to 186 of the family's 1533-position model. Lineage: Bacteria; Pseudomonadati; Pseudomonadota; Gammaproteobacteria; Enterobacterales; Enterobacteriaceae. The record is from RNAcentral.